Molecule: unclassified non-coding RNA, 277 nt
Filed under: Hevea brasiliensis (rubber tree)
Lineage: Eukaryota; Viridiplantae; Streptophyta; Magnoliopsida; Malpighiales; Euphorbiaceae
Source: RNAcentral
GAUGAAUUGGGUAGCACUUGAGGACACAUGCGUGGUUCUAGUUCUCUUAUUCUUCAGACUUGAGAGUACUUUUAACAUACAGCCCAAUUGCCAAAACCAAAAAUCCAGCUGCCACAACCAAUUUCGUUGAUUUUUUUGGCUUCUUCAUUUCUGUUUCCAUGUCACUUGUGCUUGUCAUUUUUCCUGCUUCAAUCAAGCCCUCACUCUUUUUGUCCUCCAAAGUCUUUCCUGGAACAUUAUUUGCAACAGUUUCUGAAGAACUAUUCUUCCCACUGGC